Long non-coding RNA from Daphnia pulex (common water flea), 2249 nucleotides. RefSeq lists it as uncharacterized. The transcript has 5 exons. Lineage: Eukaryota; Metazoa; Arthropoda; Branchiopoda; Diplostraca; Daphniidae. The record is from RefSeq and is a predicted model, not a curated record.
GGCACCGUCUGCACGAUCCAAACAACAAUGGCUGCCGACAUUAAACACGACCACGCGAGAGCUGGAGUAUUUUCUAUUUUGAAGACCUGGCCACCGGGGUAGUUAAAGAAAAAAGAAAAUCUGCUGCAGUGAUUUCUAGUUAAAAGAAAAUGUAUUCACCUUCUAAAAUAUCUUCUCCUUCCUUGUGUACACCCAUGUGAGGUGUGGGUGUAUUCACGAGUACACCCUUUUUCCCUCCUGGUUGAUUCAACUCUUCAGCAGAUGGAUGAAGCACUUGUGGAUGGAUGCCUGGCUGUAUUUCCCAGGCUUAAAGGUUAAUCCUCACGAAAAGAGCUUGAAGGGACAAUGUCCGAAUCGCUUGGGACAGCCUCGUCAAUUGGCCGUCCGGUCCCGCCUUCGGCCCGAUUGCGAUCCGCCGCCGUAGUGGAACUGGAAAUCAAGCGGCUGGUCCAGCCGACGCCGAGCUGCGUUGCCCACAUACCCGAGACCCUCUCUACGUUGUCACGACGGACAGCAUCAUUUCAACGAAUUCAAAUAAUCACCCGAGCUGUCCCAACCUCUUUACUGGUCCAGGGUUCAUCCGUUGAAAGCCCUGGCCUCCUAUUCCUGCCAGCAUCCGCUUCACCCCCCAACACGGCUCAAUUGGCAGCCGUUUGAUGCCCAACUCGUAUCCGUCGUACACCUGGGUUGCAUCGUCGAGUUCAUCAAAGUGCUGGCCCAGAAAUCGCAGCUAGCCGCCCACGAGCUCAUUUUGAACUUGCAGACCGACUACAAGUUCACGACGACAAAGAUCACAUCAAAGAUGACGACCUCUACGACACACUAGAGAGUCUGAUUGAAUUCACAUUCGGUACUUUCCUCUCCGGCCCGGCCAAAUGGUUUUACGAGUGCGAAUUCGACUUUUUUGAGGGGGAGAUCAUGGUCGUUUCCGGCGACAUUCGACCAUUUUCCAAAGGUGCCGAGGUGGCCGAGCGCAAGAAAGCCUGUCUGGAAAAUUUUUCCAAAAGAUCACUAGCCGGGCUGCUGCUUGCCGUCCAAUCCCGCAGCGCUGGUCAUGGACUGGAUAUAGAAUAAAACAACGGGACGCUGAGGCCCGGCUGAGGCAGAUUGCUGCCAAUUAUUGACCAAGAUUGCCCCGUAUUGGGCUGCAGAUUGCUGGAACUGGAACACGGCGGUCUCACCAGCGACUGCGAACCUUCGUCUGCGGCGGCGCCCAGUAACGGCGACAACCAAAAAUCCAGCGGCCAAGAAGAAAACAGCAAUCUGGUCUCUCAAGUGCUCAUUUUUCAAAAUCUGCGAUAAAGUCCGUCAAGACAUGCUGGCUGUCUUCAGGUUUGCCAAUCAAUUUUCCAGCAUUUUGAUUCGUUGAUGUUACAAUUGUGAAAAUUGAGAAAUUGUGUUUCCAGGUCAUUUUGCUGUUUAAAAACAUUUUCCAGCAAAUGAAUUUGUUUCUCUUCCCUUGCCCGGCUGCAGUCAUCUAGUGCUCUCCCAACGAACCUGAAAUCCCACCCACCAACUAGGCCGCCAAAUAAACAUCACGGUCGUUUCCGGCGUUCUUCCGUUACCGAGUGGUGGCCACUUCGUCCGGCUGCAGAGUUAUCCAGUGCGUUUCCAACCCGAAAUCCUGCGACUAGCUCGGCCGCCAAACAGAUGUCAGCAACUUCAACGACUAUUUCAUCAACAAAUACGGUGACGAGGUGACAUGAGUUCCAGACAGUCAGGCGCAAUAUUACACGCUCCACGGCUGCCUACUCUCUGGUCGGUUUCUUCCUACAGAUCAAGGAUCGCCACUAUGGCAACACAUGAUCGAAGGCUAUAAGGGCAUCACAUUAUUCACAUCGAUUUUGGCAUCAUGUUUGAAGUUCCCCCGGUGGCAAUUUAGGAUUCGAGCCGGACAUGUAUCGCGAGGUCCAUCAUUGUGUCUCUUGUCUGGUUGAUGCCCGACACCCGACAGCCCCGCUUACGGGAGGAGACCCUCAUGUUCCUGUAGUCCCGUUUCUUGCACAUGGACGACCGCGAAGCCGCCAACCAGCAAACCACAAUCAACAUUGUCCGCUCGUUGUUACUCAACAUCCUUACCAGAACCUAAACGUCAGGAAAUUAUAUGAUUUGAAGGACUCAUUUGCUUUACUUGUAAAUUGAUAGAGCAUAUAGGUUUUUUUUUAAUGUAAUGUGUUUCACUAUUCCCUGUUGUACGUCGUUUGUUGAGUCUGAUUUGAUAAGUCAAUAGAAACAAGCCUUUGAUGAGA